AAAUAUGUACUGAGUAUGUAAAGUUGUAGAUAAUCACAUAUGAUAUAGGAGAUCAAUAGAAAUCAGAAACAAAUGAAUAAAUCGUAAUAGGAGUGGACCACACUUACUAGAACUUGUGACAACCUGUACAUUGUAUUUAUUCAAUCACUUUACCUUCGUUCUUAUCAUCUUUGUAAUCAUUACUGUACUGUACUGUGACCAUUAGGCUGCCUCCAGUACAUAUUAACUGGGAUCGACCCAUGAUAGGCUUAUGCCCUUGGUAUACCACCCAUAAACACAUAAAUAGGGAUCGACCCAUGAU
RNAcentral lists this long non-coding RNA (301 nucleotides) under Capsicum annuum. Its description in RNAcentral is "long non-coding RNA (CANN_LNC013798)". The record is from RNAcentral. Lineage: Eukaryota; Viridiplantae; Streptophyta; Magnoliopsida; Solanales; Solanaceae.